Molecule: long non-coding RNA, 211 nt
Organism: Bradysia coprophila
Lineage: Eukaryota; Metazoa; Arthropoda; Insecta; Diptera; Sciaridae
Source: RefSeq, a predicted model, not a curated record
ACGGGACGUGUCACGUCCAUCUCGUUAACGAAUUUUCGUAGCAAGUCAUUCUCCUCUUUAUCGAGAUUUGCGAAAAGGUCGGCAUCUGCUGAUCCGACAGUGCCGUUGAAUUGGUCAUUUUGUCGCUGCAUCUUUUCUAUUUGAUCCAAAAAUUCGGCAAUAGGAUUUUGCUCGCGAAUUCCUUCAGCAUCGUCAGAAUCUCCCUUCGAGU